AUGGUAGGAUAGAGGCCUACCAUGGUGGUAACGGGUAACGGGGUGUUAGGGCACGACACCGGAGAGGGAGCCUGAGAAACGGCUACCACAUCCAAGGAAGGCAGCAGGCGCGCAAAUUACCCGAUCCCGACACGGGGAGGUAGUGACAAUAAAUAACAAUACAGGGUUCUUUGAAUCUUGUAAUUGGAAUGAGUACAAUUUAAAUCUCUUAACGAGGAACAAUUGGAGGGCAAGUCUGGUGCCAGCAGCCGCGGUAAUUCCAGCUCCAAUAGCGUAUAUNAAAGUUGUUGCAGUUAAAAAGCUCGUAGUUGAAUUUCGGGAUCAAUACGUCGGUCGUGCUUUCGGGUACGUACUGGCGUCAUUGGUUUCUCCUUUCUGACGAACCAUGAUGUCAUUAAUUUGGUGUUAUGGGGAGUUAGGACUGUUACUUUGAAAAAAUUAGAGUGUUUAAAGCAGGCAUUAGCUUGAAUACAUUAGCAUGGAAUAAUGAAAUAGGACGUUCGAUCCUAUUUUGUUGGUUUCUAGGAUCAACGUAAUGAUUAAUAGGGAUAGUUGGGGGCAUUAGUAUUCAAUUGUCAGAGGUGAAAUUCUUGGAUUUAUUGAAGACUAACUACUGCGGAAGCAUUUGCCAAGGAUGUUUUCAUUAAUCAAGAACGAAAGUUAGGGGAUCGAAGACGAUCAGAUACCGUCGUAGUCUUAACCAUAAACUAUGCCGACUAGGGAUCGGAUGAUGUUAAUUUUUUAAUGACUCAUUCGGCGCCUUACGGGAAACCAAAGUGUUUGGG
This 785-nucleotide ribosomal RNA is filed under the name uncultured Glomus. RNAcentral describes it as "SSU rRNA". It matches the Rfam family "Eukaryotic small subunit ribosomal RNA", at positions 325 to 1111 of the family's 1831-position model. Lineage: Eukaryota; Fungi; Glomeromycota; Glomeromycetes; Glomerales; Glomeraceae. The record is from RNAcentral.